AAGUCGAGCGGGCCCUUCGGGGUCAGCGGCGGACGGGUGAGUAACGCGUGGGAACGUGCCUUCUGGUUCGGAAUAACCCUGGGAAACUAGGGCUAAUACCGGAUACGCCCUUUUGGGGAAAGGUUUACUGCCGGAAGAUCGGCCCGCGUCUGAUUAGCUAGUUGGUGGGGUAACGGCCUACCAAGGCGACGAUCAGUAGCUGGUCUGAGAGGAUGAUCAGCCACACUGGGACUGAGACACGGCCCAG
RNAcentral lists this ribosomal RNA (247 nucleotides) under uncultured bacterium. Its description in RNAcentral is "partial 16S ribosomal RNA". It matches the Rfam family "Bacterial small subunit ribosomal RNA", at positions 59 to 334 of the family's 1533-position model. The record is from RNAcentral.